ACUUCACCACGCUGGCUCAGUGUGAAGUAUUGCCAGUUUACCUGCAUACCAAGGCUUGUUUCCUUGCUGUUGAUGGUUUUUGGAUUGCCUUGACCCUUUUUCUGUACUCUUUGACUCUGCUUCUGGAUCUCCCUUUGGUGCUUUUGCUGGUUUUGAACUUUUCUAGUGUUUUGACCUUCGGACUGUUAUUUGACUCUGAUUCUGGUUUUUGUGUUUUGGAGUAAAUGGGAUUAUGGAUUCUAAUCAGUCUGGAGAGUCUCCCUUACACCUUUGCUUGAACGGAUGAGCAGGUUCUGGUGUCCACAUUUGCAAAGACACUGGUGUUACUAACCUUCAAACAUGUAGACCUGUUGUCUUCAUUACACUGCAGUAAUGACCUUCGCUGACCAUUUUCACAGGUCUCAGCUGAUCAGACUCUUACUUGAACACAUCCACUUUCCCUCUGUUUGUGAAGACGCUCACUGGUGUGCAAUUCUAUUUCUUUUAUUUGACUAUUGUUCGUUCUGUUUUUCAGUUUCUGUCCUGUGUCUUCUCUGUUUUGACCUGCAUUUUGCUUACAGUGUAAAAAGUAAAAAAGGUAUAAAAAUGUAACAUAAGAAAAGCAUUAUGUUUACAGUCUUAACAGUAUGAUUACAUAAACUUGUUAAAUAUGUAAUAAUCAUUGUUUGCAGUAUAAACAGUAAAAUUACAUAAAUCUGUGAAAUAUAACCCAAUAUACCCAAGUUUACAGUGUAAAAAAUAAAUAUGUGAAAUAAAGUGUGGUUCAACUGGU
This is a long non-coding RNA of Pygocentrus nattereri (red-bellied piranha), 772 nucleotides long. RefSeq lists it as uncharacterized. The record is from RefSeq and is a predicted model, not a curated record. Lineage: Eukaryota; Metazoa; Chordata; Actinopteri; Characiformes; Serrasalmidae. The transcript is spliced from 3 exons.